This 369-nucleotide ribosomal RNA is filed under the name uncultured organism. RNAcentral describes it as "bacterial SSU rRNA". It matches the Rfam family "Bacterial small subunit ribosomal RNA", at positions 526 to 896 of the family's 1533-position model. The record is from RNAcentral.
CGAAGGACCCGAGUCGUUAUCCGGAUUUAUUGGGUUUAAAGGGUGCGUAGGCGGAUUAGUAAGUCAGUGGUGAAAGCCCAUCGCUUAACGGUGGAACUGCCAUUGAUACUGCUAGUCUUGAGUAUGGUUGAGGUGGGCGGAAUGUGUCAUGUAGCGGUGAAAUGCUUAGAUAUGACCCAGAACACCAAUUGCGAAGGCAGCUCGCUAAGCCAUAACUGACGCUGAUGCACGAAAGCGUGGGGAGCAAACAGGAUUAGAUACCCUGGUAGUCCACGCCCUAAACUAUGAUCACUCGUUGUUGGCGAUACACAGUCAGCGACUAAGGGAAACCAUUAAGUGAUCCACCUGGGGAGUACGACCGCAAGGUUG